CAGUAGCCGCGGUAAUACGUAGGGUGCAAGCGUUAAUCGGAAUUACUGGGCGUAAAGCGUGCGCAGACGGUUAUAUAAGACAGAUGUGAAAUCCCCGGGCUCAACCUGGGAACUGCAUUUGUGACUGUAUAGCUAGAGUACGGCAGAGGGGGAUGGAAUUCCGCGUGUAGCAGUGAAAUGCGUAGAUAUGCGGAGGAACACCGAUGGCGAAGGCAAUCCCCUGGGCCUGUACUGACGCUCAUGCACGAAAGCGUGGGGAGCAAACAGGAUUAGAUACCCGCGUAGUCCCUGUCUCUUAUAC
RNAcentral lists this ribosomal RNA (301 nucleotides) under uncultured bacterium. Its description in RNAcentral is "partial 16S ribosomal RNA". It matches the Rfam family "Bacterial small subunit ribosomal RNA", at positions 509 to 807 of the family's 1533-position model. The record is from RNAcentral.